RNA transcript from Oncorhynchus kisutch (coho salmon), 2093 nucleotides. It is a transcript of the gene named akirin-2-like, with no coding region annotated. The record is from RefSeq and is a predicted model, not a curated record. NCBI's taxonomy places the organism in Eukaryota, Metazoa, Chordata, Actinopteri, Salmoniformes, Salmonidae. The transcript has 6 exons.
ACCACCACCACCACCACCACCACCACAGAAAGCACUAAGCUUGGCUGAAACACCUGCAUUUUGGAGCUGCCUUACUCAAGGGAGCAAAAAAGAGACAAUGUUUAUCCAUAAUAUUGCCAACGGAAUGGCUUGUGGGGCUACUUUGAAAAGGACUAUGGAUUUCGAUCCAUUGAUGAACCAGGCGUCCCCCAAAAGGAGGAGGUGCACCCCAAUGUCUCAAGCCGCCUCGACUUCAUCACCCCAGAAAUAUCUGCGUAUGGAGCCCUCACCAUUUGGAGAAGUGUCGUCCAGACUCACAACGGAGCAAAUCCUGCACAAUAUCAAGCAAGAGUACAAGCGGAUGCAGAAGCGAAGGCACCUGGAGAACAGCUUUCAGCAGACCGAGGGCUGUUGUCCCCUGGAGUCACAACCCCAUAGCUCCAUCCUUAAUGGAUCCAGUCUGCCAGGAACAUCUUCUGGUGCUGUCUCCCCAUCUAGAAAAGAGCAACCUCUAUUUACCUUGAGACAGGUUGGGAUGAUCUGUGAACGACUACUUAAAGAACGAGAGGAGAAGAUAAGGGAAGAAUAUGACGAAAUAUUGACAACAAAACUAGCAGACCUUUUUCUCUCUUUUUGCAGAGCAAUAUGAUGCUUUCGUUAAGUUCACUCACGAUCAGCUAAUGCGGCGAUUUGGAGAGCAACCUGCUAGCUAUGUUUCCUGAGUGAAACCUCAUAUUUGAUGGAUUACCAAUUUCCCAUUUUAUUAUUGCUCAAACUUCCCAUUUGAUUAUCUGCCAACCGUGUUCUCCAGAGACUCACAGGCUCUAUUUGGACUUGUAGCAGUGCCAUAUCUCCCCUGUGGGCUUAGGAUGCCUCAAGCUUCUGUCAGUGGCAACUACGUUCUCUUCAGCGACUGGUAUUUGUGCUACGGCUUAAAUGGCACCCAAUUUACUACUUUUGGCCAGCGCCCAUAGAGCUAUGGUCAAAAUUAGUGCACUAUAUAUAAAAUAGGGUGCCAUUUUGGAUGAAACCUUGGAGUGCUUCCUGCUGUCAACACAUAUAUGGACCUCUGCUACCUAUUACUCUACCAGUGGCCUCUGUUGUUUUAAUUGCUGUAUUGAUAUUUAUUAGGCUUUUUUCUUAGGCCUUUUUAUAAAGUGACCUGCCAUUCCCAACUCUGCUAACCUCGUCUUAGAUCUGUUUGUGCUCUUUCCAACUACAUUGCUGUCCUUGUCAAGCUAAGACAAUGAGUGACAAGGAGUUGGCAUUAUAGCCCAAACAGACUGGCACUCAGGCUAUGACUCUGCCACCACACAUUUAGAUUUAUUUUGUUCCAUAAACAUGCUUCUUUGUUUCAAAAAUGACGAGACGCAACUUUUUUUAUUUUUUAAUCAAAUCAACUUAUACAGUUGGGAGGGGUGGUCCACUACAAAAGAGCAGAUAAUCCAAGGAAGCUUCUGGACUGGACUCCAGGAGAGGACAUCCUAUGAUCUAUCAGCUAUGGUUACAUUGUAAUGGUAAAUGGCUUGUGUAAAUUAUGUCGUUUUGCCUGACCUUUGUUACAGUUAUCCUUUAAAAAAAAAAAAUCUACAAAAAAAGUGCUAUCAUUUUUUCCCUGUUUAUUUUAUUGGCUAUGUAGCUUAAUGGACUUGGGUUGGGUAAAGCUAAUGAAUAAUAGGUUUACAUUAAAGGAUGUUCCAUUUUCACAUUGUCUUUUUCAUAGUAAAAAAUGCUAGAAUAGUUGACAUCUUUGUUCAAUUUAUCUCUUCCAAGUGUGCCGGAGAAGGUUCCACUUCAGUCAUUGCUUUUGAUGGUGUUGAUUUUGGACUGUAUAAUCCAUCUCCUCCACCAUUUGAGAAGGAGAACUUUGAAGGUAUUUUAUCUUGUCCAAACACAUAAAUGUUCAUAGUAGCUAGGUUUCCAUCCAAUUGGUGAUAGAUUUUCAGGUGAAUAUUGUAUAAUCUGCAUAAAAACAAUGUUCAUUUUUCCCACCAGAUGUGUUUUCAUUGAAUUGACUUGUUAUGGAUAAAAGGCUGUGCGUGAUGACGUAGUGGACAUGCAAAUGCAUAUUGUGGUUAAAUUCCCAUGUAUCGAAUAAAAAUGUUAAAGUUAAA